This 425-nucleotide ribosomal RNA is filed under the name uncultured bacterium. RNAcentral's name for it is "partial 16S ribosomal RNA". It matches the Rfam family "Bacterial small subunit ribosomal RNA", at positions 354 to 796 of the family's 1533-position model. The record is from RNAcentral.
GUGGGGAAUCUUAGACAAUGGGGGCAACCCUGAUCUAGCCAUGCCGCGUGAUCGAUGAAGGCCUUAGGGUUGUAAAGAUCUUUCAGCUGGGAAGAUAAUGACGGUACCAGCAGACGAAGCCCCGGCUAACUCCGUGCCAGCAGCCGCGGUAAUACGGAGGGGGCUAGCGUUGUUCGGAAUUACUGGGCGUAAAGCGCACGUAGGCGGAUUGGAAAGUUGGGGGUGAAAUCCCGGGGCUCAACCCCGGAACUGCCUUCAAAACUCCCAGUCUUGAGGUCGAGAGAGGUGAGUGGAAUUCCGAGUGUAGAGGUGAAAUUCGUAGAUAUUCGGAGGAACACCAGUGGCGAAGGCGGCUCACUGGCUCGAUACUGACGCUGAGGUGCGAAAGCGUGGGGAGCAAACAGGAUUAGAUACCCUUGUAGUCC